Sinocyclocheilus grahami is the source of this 115-nucleotide long non-coding RNA. RefSeq lists it as uncharacterized. The transcript is spliced from 3 exons. The record is from RefSeq and is a predicted model, not a curated record. Lineage: Eukaryota; Metazoa; Chordata; Actinopteri; Cypriniformes; Cyprinidae.
CUGGACUACUGAAAUGCUUCUCUGGCUGUUCUAUAUCCAAGCACAAAUGUCUUGAUCUUGAUUCGAGCCACAACUGGUAGCCAGUGCAAGGAGAUAAAGAGAGGUGUAACAUGGG